Non-coding RNA from Salmo salar (Atlantic salmon), 54 nucleotides. The record is from Rfam. Lineage: Eukaryota; Metazoa; Chordata; Actinopteri; Salmoniformes; Salmonidae.
UGCAUUCGCUACUGUAAGUCGCUCUGGAUAAGAGCGUCUGCUAAAUGACGUAAA